Long non-coding RNA from Mustela erminea (ermine), 660 nucleotides. RefSeq lists it as uncharacterized. The record is from RefSeq and is a predicted model, not a curated record. NCBI's taxonomy places the organism in Eukaryota, Metazoa, Chordata, Mammalia, Carnivora, Mustelidae. The transcript is spliced from 3 exons.
UUUGCUGAACGCACUGUGGACCGGCCCCAAUGCUAGGGCCACGGUUAAGAAUGAAGAGGAUACUCCCUGGCCUUCUGAAUGUUAAGUAGGAGGCUAGCAGGGAGACAGAUUUUUAUCAGUUCAACAAUAUUCCUUCCAAACUCUGUGUUAGCUGUAAAGAUACAGGAGUGAAAACCAGAAAUGAUCUCUACCCUCCUGGAGCUCCCAAAUGUCCAGCAGCUUUGGUUUCAAGUCACCCUCUUUGAGAAGACUGAUCAAAGAUAAAGCAAAGUGGGCUCAGGAAGCAGACAGCACAUCCUGAGACUUAACGGUCCCAAAGCCACAGAGAGGACCAGGCAUCACGCUCCAGGCAGUAUUACUGAGCCACUGAGACCCUUCUCGUGGGAAGGACCAGCCUGACCGGGACGGGGCGGCUCAGACUCAGCUCAGGACCCACAGGACUGCCCAUGUGCUGGAGCGAUGUGACGCUUUCCAGGGAGGCAGAAAAGCGUAGGCUUCAGUGUAACACAGGGGUUGACUUGCCACCAGUCAUCUGACUGUGACCCACAGGCCCCAUUUGUAAAAGGGGGAUGAUGCUGGCCUCCCAGGGUCUGUGGCGGAGGCGCUCGGCACCCAGAGGGCGUGUGAUACCAAAAAUUAAACAAAUCUGAACUGAUGACA